ACGAAGGGGGCUAGCGUUGCUCGGAAUUACUGGGCGUAAAGGGAGCGUAGGCGGCGUGGUAAGUCAGAUGUGAAAUCCCGGGGCUCAACCCCGGAACUGCAUCCGAUACUGCCAUGCUUGAGGGUUGGAGAGGUAGCUGGAAUUCUCGGUGUAGCAGUGAAAUGCGUGGAUAUCGAGAGGAACACUCGUGGCGAAGGCGAGCUACUGGACAGCAUCUGACGCUGAGGCUCGAAGGCUAGGGGAGCAAAAGGGA
Molecule: ribosomal RNA, 253 nt
Filed under: uncultured prokaryote
Description: partial 16S ribosomal RNA
Rfam family: Bacterial small subunit ribosomal RNA
Source: RNAcentral